AUGCCCGAUAAGAUCUCUUGGAAGUGGACUCAGAGCGGGAAAUACAUAGCUACCUUUGUCUACCCAGCCCUAUUCCUCGGCUCCACCACUGCGCCUAAUUGGCGGCCCAUUUGGAAGUGUUGGGCGCCGACAAAUGCCAAGUUCUUUCUCUGGUUAGUCUCCCUGGACCGCUGCUGGACUGCGGAACAAAGAGCGCGCCACGGGUUACCUCACGACCCCCAUUGCAAGUUGUGUGGCCAGGAGUUCGAGACCAUUGAUCACCUGCUUGUUCAAUGCGUCUUCUCGAAGAUCACCUGGCAUGAGAUCUUAUCCUGGUGUCGCCUCCCGGUGCUUCUGCCUGGCGCUGACACGUCCUUCUUCCCGUGGUGGUCUGCCUCGCUGGCCGCUUCUCCGGCAAGCCUGGGGAAAGGCCUCAACGCCCUUAUAGCCCUCACCGCUUGGAGCAUCUGGAAGCAUCGAAACGCCGCUCUCUUCGACGGCCUCCGACCAUCUACUGACGCCCUUGUCCACACCAUCAAGGAGGAAGCCCGGCUUUGGUCUAAAGCCGGUGCUCAAGGCUUAGCACUAAUUAUCCCUGUAAUCUAG
RNAcentral lists this ribosomal RNA (585 nucleotides) under Triticum aestivum (bread wheat). RNAcentral describes it as "partial small subunit ribosomal RNA". Lineage: Eukaryota; Viridiplantae; Streptophyta; Magnoliopsida; Poales; Poaceae. The record is from RNAcentral.